Molecule: long non-coding RNA, 774 nt
Organism: Eriocheir sinensis (Chinese mitten crab)
Lineage: Eukaryota; Metazoa; Arthropoda; Malacostraca; Decapoda; Varunidae
Exons: 4
Source: RefSeq, a predicted model, not a curated record
CCGGGCCAAGCAGGGGAGACAUCACGGAGAGUCACACCAAGAUAGAUAGGUCAAUUUAGGAUGCCGCGGACGGACCAUGCAGAGGACUCAUCGCGACGACACCAACGGUUUGGUUAAGUGGGUUCUCUUGUGUGUGCGUCUGUGUGUGAAUGGCAGGCCUGUCGUAUGAUUGUGUGUGUGUGUGCGUUGGCGUUAUGCCUUCGCACUAUUAUUUUGUUAGGAUGUAUUUUUUUGUGUGUGAACUUUUUGCACGUAAUCUUUUUUUAUACCCAUAGCUAGCGUUUGUUUGUGUGGCAGUGUUCCGGGAGAUGGACGCCGGGGGACAUGGGCUUGGGGAGGCGCACAUGACCUCCUCUGUCCGUGACCUCUUCAGCUGGGGAGACCGCGUGUUGCCCCGCCUGGAGAGACACGUUGAUGGAGGUGGCCGUGUGUGUCAUCCCUUUGCCUGUAUCCUCUGGCGCCCAGAGGCGCGUAAGUGGAGAGCAUCGGCGCAGCGCGGGAGCAGCACGUCAGGGUGUAGGGUGUUUGUUUAGCUGGUGUAGGGUGUUAGGGUGUUAGGGUGUUAGGUGUAACAACGGUUGGCUCUUUCACAGAACGGGUGUGAUUCCGUUCUGCGUUUGAGUCUUCCACCUUCAGACGGUCUCCCUCCGAGAUGUCUGAAGUUUUUUUUGUCGGUUUUCUCCGUAGGAGGAAGCCGACUCUAGCUACUCUGGCCUCUCUUCCGGGGGUCAGAGCGGUCGGGCUCUGCUUGGCCAGGCGUUAGUCUUUCGCGUU